CAGCUUUCUCAUUUGAAGUACUGCAUACUGCAACUUUCACCCCUUUUCCCAGAGCUUCAUCAAUUAACCUGUAAAAGUUAAGAAGAUAAUGAAUUUAUAAUUUUCCCUCUCAAAAAGUUACUCCACCAUUUUGAAUUUAGUUGAUUUACCAUUCUAUUGUUGGAUUAAAUCAACAGAUCUUUCUAUGCAUGUAAUGUAGAUUUCUUCAACGAAAAAUGAAAUGUUAGUUAUGUAAAACUUGUUUAACUCAUUUCUUUAACCUUUCCAGAUUACAUAUUGGAAAUGUAAUUACAAUGAAUAAUACAUAUGGUUUGUUAGGAAUAAGCAACUUAUCUGUAUUGAAGGCCCAAGGGGCAUAUAUAUAUUACACAUGACUUGAGGUCAAGGAAAGUAAACAUAGACUAAUAAGGACUCCUAGACUAAUACUAAUACUUCCUAACCCCCCCCCCCCCUCAAAUGCAAAGGGUAUGCAAUAGCAUUGCAUUUGAAGAAGUGUAAUACUAAAAAAAAUGAUAAUCCAAAUCCGCGUCUUGAGAGUGUCGUCGUAGCAGGAAGAGUCUUCAGAACUUGUCAGGUCGCCGAAGGGGAUAACGAAGAGAUGGCACAUCAGAGGUAGACACCGCAUCACAUGAAGAUACAAGAUAAGUAUCAAGAGAAGAUGGGUUGUCAAAAGAAGAUGGCACAUCAAGAGAAGAAGGCAUUGCGCAGAAAAUCAUAGUCCACGACAACCGUCGGCGAAAGAAGCUCGGCGAAUAAGGCACGAUGGACGUAGAUCGACAAUGCAAAAGAAGACCAGAAAAUCCUAUAGAAAACAACAAGGGCAGGUAGGCCACAAAAGUUGCAUAGAAAGGAUCAGGACCGGAGAAAGGCUGACAGACUAAGGUAUGGUGGACUCGCAUGGCAUGAGAAAACACAAAAUAUCAACGGAUUUGGUGGACGCAGCGGAAAACAAAGAAAACUAGAAAACACACACUAGAUUAGGGAUGAUGGCAGCGGAAGAGAAAAAUAAUAUCAUGGCGGCGAAGGCCAAUUCCAACCAGAGUGUGCAUGAGACGGUCCUAACUGUGUAGAAGGUGGUUGCUCAGUGCGGGAAGCCUGAGUCACAAUACCAGCAGUACCCGUCGAGGAAGAACCUGAAGCAGCAAGCAGACGCUUAAGUCUCAGAAUAUCCUGCUCAGUCAAAGCGAUGGCUGAAGUUGUCGAGGUAGAUGACGAAGUCUCUGUAGAUGAUGAUUGCGCCUGGCGCAAGUGUUUCUUCUUCGUGUAGCAGUGAGACUCAAUAUGACCAUCAUUGUUGCAGUAGCCACAAUGUAGACAGGGGCGACCUGAGCCUCCAGAAGGAGUGAGCAAGAGCGGCGGAGCACUCGAGUGAGAAGGGGUCGGUGCAGCAGGUGGCGUAGAAGUAGCCCGAGCAGCGAGCACCGAGGGAACCUCCAGGAAACCAGCACCACGUAAGCGAGUCUCCUCAGCACGAAUCUCAGAAAGCGCCUCCAUGAGAGAAAUACGGCCACGAGCAAACAACUGAGCACGCCGGGGCUCAAACUCCUUACGGAGCCGAGACAGGAACUCGUAGACGCGAUGAAACUCCAAGUUGGCCUGGACAGCCUGGCAACAGGGGCAAGUACGACAACCAGCAGUGCGGAGAGAAUCGAGCUGGCGCCAGAUAGCAGAACUCUGUGCAUAGAAGUCAUCAACAGUAGAGUCACCAUGCUGAAGAGCAUGCUCCUGACGAACCACGGAGAGGUAUAAGGCAUCACCAGAGGGCGCAUAGCGCUGACGAAGGCGAGUCCACAUCUCAAAGGCAGUAGGAAGGCCCAAAAACUCAGAGGCAAACUGAGGCCGAACACUAGCAGUGAGAACAGUUGCAACACGAGCAUCAUCAUCAAGCCACUGGGUGUAAGAGGACAGAGCACCGUGAUAUACCUGAAGAGCCUCCUCAUAAGCCAAGACCUUCUCAUCAUAAGCACUCACAGCGGCCUCAUUAGCAAGCUUAGCCGCAUCCUUUGUGGCCUGAGGAGCAUCCGCGGGAAGAGCCGGUGGGGUCGACGGAGUAGGAGCCAUGGGAGGAACCGGACAUGGCGGACAACAGACCUCGCUAGAAAGAAAACCACAUAGACGGAUGCCACGCAUGUGAAUGCGCAUGAAGCCAAUGAACUCGGUGUAGUUAGUGCCAUCAAAGAUCACCGAACAACGAGGAACAGCAACGUAGCCGAAUGCAGCAGACAUUUUUUUUGGUCAACGACGAGGGGAACACCCGAUCCGAUCGGGAGUGUGCAGAGGGCGGCGCGACCUGGAGAGCACGGCCGGGAGCAGAGCCUCGAUCCAAGCGGUCUGGAGAUGGACCGAGAUCAGGAAAACAGGCGGAUCCGGUCAGUGCGCGUCUGGAAGCAGAGCCGCGUCUGGGAGCAGAGCCACUUCUGGCGGAUCCGGCGACGCAAGACUCGAUGGUGGAGGACGCACUGGGCCGGGACGAGCUCACUCAGCCGAUCCGAUCCGACGAGAUCUGGCGUUCGCUGGAGGCUGCGAGUGGAGCCUGUGGGAGCAGACGAGGAGGAGGCGCGUUCCUGGAGGAGCACCGGCGGGAGAAAUCCUGGCACCCGAGGAGGAGGCGUGUUCCUAGAGGAGCGCCGGCGGGAGAAAUCCUGAGACCUGGCUCCAGGGGAGAAGGGGGAACGCCGGCAGGAGGGAUCGGCGGAUGAGCAGCAGCAGGAUGAGAACAAGAGCUGCAGCAGGAGGAGAUCGGGAGCAGCAGCUAGACGAACAACGGCUGCGUGGAGAAGGAUCGGAGCACGAGUUGCGCGUGCGAAAAAUUGACCUAAGGCUCUAAUACCAUGUUAGGAAUAAGCAACUUAUCUGUAUUGAAGGCCCAAGGGGCAUAUAUAUAUUACACAUGACUUGAGGUGCAAGGAAAGUAAACAUAUACUAAUAAGGACUCCUAGACUAAUACUAAUAGACUAAUAAGGACUCCUAGACUAAUACUAAUACUUCCUAACAUGGUUAAUGCAUUUUGUUCCCAGUAUAGAACAGAUUGGCUAUGCCAGAACUACUAUAUAUUCAUACAGUGGUAAAUUACACUACCUAUUGUGUUGUUUACACGCAGCAUAAAUGAUUUUACUGUGACUAUUUCGAUUUUGUUAUAAGGAAGUACUUCAAACUAGUGUCGUUGCAGCAGCCGAGGACGUUUCUGAUUCACAAGUCCAUUUAAACUGCAUUUAAGUUACUGAAGUCAUCAAAUUGUUUGAAAACAUGACCUUUGAACACCUGGGCGGAGAGGAAGCAACUUCUUCUCAAUUAGGACCAUAAACAAUUCUGUUUUCCGCUUGUGAAGAGAAGCAACAAAUUCCUUUCUUU
RNAcentral lists this long non-coding RNA (3351 nucleotides) under Hordeum vulgare. RNAcentral describes it as "long non-coding RNA (HVUL_LNC019718)". The record is from RNAcentral. Lineage: Eukaryota; Viridiplantae; Streptophyta; Magnoliopsida; Poales; Poaceae.